Molecule: long non-coding RNA, 1447 nt
Filed under: Equus caballus (horse)
Lineage: Eukaryota; Metazoa; Chordata; Mammalia; Perissodactyla; Equidae
Description: lncRNA (ENSECAG00000050961.1)
Source: RNAcentral
UUGCCUUUCCAAACACACAGUUAUAAUUCUAGUCUGCCUGAGGCAUCCAUCGCUCUGAAGGGAAAUCAGGGUCUGCUGCAGAAGGGAUACAAAGAAUAAGACCCAGGUGAUGUUCAGCUUUUGACAUUGAAAAUUCAGCUUUUGCCUAGCCCUGAGUCCUGAAGAGUUUCUCCUAUAUAGUUUUCUAAUAAUUUUUGUCUAAAGUUUUUGUCUAAAAAAUCAGCUGACAAUCCCUAACAAUCAGUUGUUUGCCAGGUGAUUAGCUGCCUCUCUACCUUCCUCGUGGUCCGAUAAACUGCAGGAACGUAUGGAAUCAUUCACACUUAGCUUGUGCUGGGCCAGGCCGCGCAUGUCACCUUGAGUUUCGCUGGCCGCUGACAAGACCUCAAGCUGCCAAGAGCUGCCGCACUAUCCUUCCCCGGCUCCCAUUUUAAUGGAAGGGGUCGCUGGCAGGGCCAGGAGAUUAAGAGCAUGCCCCUUAUUCAGCUUUAUCUCAGCAAGUAUUCAUAGUUUUAGAGUUGCAAGGGACCUUCUCAAAGGGAACAGGCUAAAACCAAGGAAUGUUCAGUGAUUUUUUUCCAAUUUACAGAAUCUUCAGCUUCUGACUCCCAGGCUGAGCUCUUUUCAUUGUCCCCACAAAGCACCAGCCAGUGGACUACUGGUCACUCCUCCUGGCCUGCCGCAGCCUCUGUCCCAUAACAGGGAGCAAACAGCUGUGGCGGCUCAGAGAAUCCGCCAGGUCGUAGCAAUUUAAUCCAGUGCUCUCAUGGGGAUCUGCUGUGAGCAUCUCAUGCAGGGGCUCCGAGCUGCCAGCUUUCCCUCCGAGCUGCCUUCAGCGUCCUGUCCUCGCCCUCACAGCCUGGGAGCAUAUGUGCUGCUGAAGGGAGCACAAUCCUUAUUCUUAACAGGCAAAUUGACAUUAUAUUUGCAACUAGUGUGGACAUUGAAGACUACUGAGAAAAAUUAUCAUAACUCCAUUAUUAUGUAGAAUUGUUGGCAAUCCUCAUCAAGAUCUUCAAUCUAAAACAUUCAGAAAACAGAAUUUUGGAAACCGAAAGUUCAUUUACCUUUGGGAAAAUUCCUUAUCACAUAAUCUGAAAUAUGCGUAGAAGAUUGAGAAUGUAUGUUCUUCUUCCUAUGACAACUCAAAAGUUCUUUGUAAUGAUUGUUUCUUGGCAGUUAGUUCUGAAAAAAAAUCAGAUUUGUUCUGCAUCGUUCUGAACAUGAAAAGAUUUUUAAAGAGAUUGCAAUGGGCAAUUCUGCACUUGACGAACAUAUAAUCUUCAAAAUAUUUAUCAUUUUAUGCACACCAUAAAGAUGUAGAUAUGGAUAUGGAUGUGGAUAUGGCUAUAGCUAUGGCUGUCUAUUUUGGGAAACCAAGUUUUUACCAAUAUGUUGUCAUUUCAGCUGCCAUAACACUAAUAAACUAAUUGAAGCAUUUAAAACA